CUCCAGCACACCUGCCCGGGAAUGGCACCACUCAAAGGAAUGUCCCCUCCUACAUGAAGUAGCAACCAAGAAAAUGCCCUGCAGACAUGCGCACGGACUGAUCCUGGUGAAGAGGCCUGGCUGUUUCUACCGGAUCAUGACACUACUGCUGAGUGAUUGGUAUCCUGCACUACUGAACUGGACUGUUGGUAUCCUGAUGAAUGGAGAUUGGAAUCACAUCUGAAGAACUACUUCUAAACAGACCUCAUUGCAUAACGUGAACCCUGGAGGCAGCAUCUCUGCUGAAGGAUGACGAUGCAGUUUCCCUUGUCUGUUCCACUGCACCAACAUCAGCAUCCCAGACAUCGCCUGAAGAGUCAAAGUUCCACAGACUCUUCUAGUAGCUAUCAUGAUCACUUGGACAAAACUCUUUCCUGGAAACAUGAGCCACCUGUAUAGUCCAGUGCUGGCCGCAGAGGAAUGUACAUUGACUCUGGUUUUACUAAAUGGUCAGUUCCUGGGUCUUACUUACCUCUAUUCCAGAAUUCUCGAUAUGUGAUUCCUACUCCCUCCCCCAUUAUGAUAUUGUGAAUUAUCUGUGAGUGGGGCUUAAGGUAGAUUGCUAAGCACUUACCUCUUAAGACCUAAGUUUAUUUCAUGGGAUCCAAGUGGUAG
This 654-nucleotide long non-coding RNA is filed under the name Rattus norvegicus (Norway rat). RNAcentral describes it as "long non-coding RNA NONRATT017703". The record is from RNAcentral. Lineage: Eukaryota; Metazoa; Chordata; Mammalia; Rodentia; Muridae.